RNAcentral lists this ribosomal RNA (253 nucleotides) under uncultured bacterium. RNAcentral describes it as "partial 16S ribosomal RNA". It matches the Rfam family "Bacterial small subunit ribosomal RNA", at positions 524 to 776 of the family's 1533-position model. The record is from RNAcentral.
UACGUAGGGGGCAAGCGUUGUCCAGAUUUAUUGGGCGUAAAGAGCGUGUAGGCGGCUAGGUAGGUCCGUUGUGAAAACUCGAGGCUCAACCUCGAGACGCCGAUGGAAACCAUCUGGCUAGAGUCCGGAAGAGGAGAGUGGAAUUCCUGGUGUAGCGGUGAAAUGCGCAGAUAUCAGGAAGAACACCCGUGGCUAAGGCGGCUCUCUAGUACGGUACUGACGCUGAGACGCGAAAGCGUGGGGAGCGAACAGG